UUGGAGUUCGGCUCCAAAUUCAGGUGCGCUACAGUGUCUCUGCACCCCGAAUUGUAGUCUGGAGAAGGGUCCUCUGCAGCGGACCGGGUUUAAGUCCCUUGGAACGGGACGCCAGAGAGGGUGAGAGCCCCGUCUAGCCCGGACCCUGCUGCAUCACGAGGCUCUUUCGGCGAGUCGGGCUGUUUGGGAAUGCAGCCUUAAGUGGGUGGUAAAUUCCAUCCAAGGCUAAAUACUGGUGAGAGACCGAUAGCGCACAAGUACCGCGAGGGAAAGAUGAAAAGGACUUUGAAAAGAGAGUUAAAAAGUGCUUGAAAUUGCUGGGAGGGAAGCGAAUGGAUGCCUUGUGCGCCCCUUGGUUGUGUGUGGAACGGCGAGAGCUGGUCUGCCAAGCAAUGCAAGGGGCUGUCCAGCAUGGGAGGACGCGGCGGGAUAACGGCUUGUGAGCCUCUGGCUCCCUGCCAAUGCCGCCGCUGCCUCUGAAAAUGGU
This 487-nucleotide non-coding RNA is filed under the name Selaginella moellendorffii. RNAcentral describes it as "Eukaryotic large subunit ribosomal RNA". It matches the Rfam family "Eukaryotic large subunit ribosomal RNA", at positions 102 to 577 of the family's 3401-position model. Lineage: Eukaryota; Viridiplantae; Streptophyta; Lycopodiopsida; Selaginellales; Selaginellaceae. The record is from Rfam by way of RNAcentral.